Molecule: small nucleolar RNA, 105 nt
Organism: Phodopus roborovskii (desert hamster)
Lineage: Eukaryota; Metazoa; Chordata; Mammalia; Rodentia; Cricetidae
Product: small nucleolar RNA U13
Exons: 1
Source: RefSeq, a predicted model, not a curated record
AUCCUUUUUGGUUCAUAAGUGUGAUGAUUAGGGAUUCACACCUCUGCAUGACGUGUGCUGCCCAUUAAACCUUGUUAUGGUGUGGGCACAUUACCUGACGUGAAA